This 802-nucleotide long non-coding RNA is filed under the name Homo sapiens (human). Its description in RNAcentral is "novel transcript". The record is from RNAcentral. Lineage: Eukaryota; Metazoa; Chordata; Mammalia; Primates; Hominidae.
GUAACAUGAGAUGAAAACUGGAGAAGCAUCCCUAAAAUAUAUGAACCAAUCUGCCUAGAAAUAGCUAGGAAUCUGCCACCAGAAAGAUGAAUAAAAUAAAAGAUUGAAGAAGUAGCAAGUAGCAGUAUGGAAGACUUGUGGCUAAGAUAUGUGUCUUGGGAAAAAGAAGGGCUGAAUGUUAACACAACUAAGGGUCUCACUGAUUCCCCAAUGAAGCAACUUCACGGGGGAACCCCUCUAAGAGAUUUUCUCUCUGCAUUCACAGAAGACACUUCGCACUGUUAUGCACCAGGAGGAUUGACUGUCUCUGUGGCUUGGAGGCAGUUAUACGUAGCAGCAGCAGCAGCAGCAGCAGCAAAAGUUAACAGGAGCCGGAGUCUGUCUUCAAAGAGCAGUCAGUAGAGAUGAAGAGUAGAUUACUGAUUCCAUAGUACAUGUCAGAUACUGCCUAGGGACUUCCUAAGUAGAGGUCAAGGUCCCACUGUUAUACAGGAACCCCGCCUUUUUGUGUAACAGUUGGCCAUAAAGAAAUUAAGACCUUCAUUCCAGAGAGUCCUAUUGCAUGCCUGAGAGGGAGGAAGGCUGCACAGAGACGCCAAGAAGCUGGACAGUCCUUGCUGGGUUUCCCCACUCAGUCUUUAAGCAUUCGAUCAUACCCCUUCUGUCCAGUUGUAUUUUACAUGGCUGUCCAUACAUCAUUGAAUGUCAGUGUAAAAAUGGAUUGUUUUCCCUGUAUCUUUGGGUCUUUAUUCUGAAGUCUCUUUUAAAACUAUGAUCAAAUAAAUUUGUAUGCCUUUUCUCC